CAGUCGCCGCGGUAAUACGUAGGUGGCAAGCGUUGUCCGGAAUUAUUGGGCGUAAAGGGCUCGCAGGCGGUUUCUUAAGUCUGAUGUGAAAGCCCCCGGCUCAACCGGGGAGGGUCAUUGGAAACUGGGAAACUUGAGUGCAGAAGAGGAGAGUGGAAUUCCACGUGUAGCGGUAAAAUGCGCAGAGAUGUGGAGGAACACCAGUGGCGAAGGCGACUCUCUGGUCUGUAACUGACGCUGAGGAGCGAAAGCGUGGGGAGCGAACAGGAUUAGAUACCCCCGUAGUCCCUGUCUCUUAUAC
Molecule: ribosomal RNA, 301 nt
Filed under: uncultured bacterium
Lineage: Bacteria
Description: partial 16S ribosomal RNA
Rfam family: Bacterial small subunit ribosomal RNA
Source: RNAcentral